CCCUUAGAUGUCCUGGGCCGCACGCGCGCUACGCUGACAUGUUCAACAAGCCUCCUAGUUCGACAGGAUUUGGGAAAUCUUUGAACGCAUGUCGUGAUAGGGAUAGAUCAUUGCAAUUAUUAAUCUUCAACGAGGAAUGCCUAGUAGGCGCAAGUCAUCAGCUUGCGUCGAUUACGUCCCUGCCCUUUGUACACACCGCCCGUCGCUCCUACCGAUUGGGUGUGCUGGUGAAAUGUUCGGAUCGGCCGUUUGUCGCGGUUUCCGCGGCUCGUGGCUGAGAAGUUCAUUAAACCCUCCCACCUAGAGGAAGGAGAAGUCGUAACA
This 324-nucleotide ribosomal RNA is filed under the name uncultured eukaryote. RNAcentral describes it as "partial 18S ribosomal RNA". It matches the Rfam family "Eukaryotic small subunit ribosomal RNA", at positions 1470 to 1796 of the family's 1831-position model. The record is from RNAcentral.